GAACAUAAGCAUAAGGGAUGGGAAAAUUACACUAAUAAGCUUAACUUACUUCACGUUGAGCAUUGGAGUCUAUCAUAUACAAAAUGCUAAAUGAAUUUUAGUUGUUUAAACAUGUGAGAUGAAAACCUAAUGCGGAAAAUUAAACCAUGUAAAGAAAAGAAGGAAAAGAAAAAUAGAGCAUAAUUAGAAAGGGAUUAAGGAUGAGGGGGCGCUUAAGGGAAAUUAAUUACAACACUGGCUUUAAAAAGUCUUAAAAUAAAGAGCACAAAUAAUAGUUCUAAUUAAUUCUAAGAGGAGUUUUAAAUGAAUCACUUAAGAUUCCUAAAUCAUUGUUAUUAAAACCUGCAACUAUGAAGAAAUAAAGUUAGCAAAAAAACUGAACACAAAUGAACUUGUUAUUAAAAUAGUAAAGAAAUAUUAAAGAAGAGGUACUUUGAUACCUCGUCUAAUCCUAGUAGAAGAUACUUUAGUACCUUGACUAGACUCAUUAUUUUAAUACCUUAAGUUUUUCUUAACAUGUGAAACUGACCUUAUUUCAUAAAUCUAAAAAUAAUUUUAUUUAACAUUUGAGCUGAACAUAAGUAUAAAGGAUGGGAAGAUUACACUAAUAAGCUUAACUUAUUUCAAGUUGAGCAUUGGAGCCUAUCAUAUACAAAAUGCUAAAUGAAUUUUAGUUGUUUAAACAUGUGAGGUGAAAACCUAAUACAGGAAAUUAAACUAUGUAAAGAAAAGGAGGAAAAGAAAAAUAAAGCAUAACUAGAAAGGGAUUAAGGAUGUGGGGCCGUUUAAGGGGAAUUAAUUAUAACACUGGCUUUAAAAAGUCUUAAAAUAAAUAGCACAAAUAAUAGUUCUAAUUAAUUCUAAGAGGAGUUUUAAAUAACAAUUUAAAUAUUACAAUAAAAAUCAGGGCAAAUAAU
This 917-nucleotide long non-coding RNA is filed under the name Ricinus communis (castor bean). RNAcentral describes it as "long non-coding RNA (RCOM_LNC003241)". The record is from RNAcentral. Lineage: Eukaryota; Viridiplantae; Streptophyta; Magnoliopsida; Malpighiales; Euphorbiaceae.